This 359-nucleotide transfer RNA is filed under the name uncultured Microcystis sp. Its description in RNAcentral is "partial 16S-23S ribosomal RNA intergenic spacer". The stretch from base 134 to 207 matches the Rfam family "tRNA". Lineage: Bacteria; Bacillati; Cyanobacteriota; Cyanophyceae; Chroococcales; Microcystaceae. The record is from RNAcentral.
AAAGGGAGACCUAAUUCGGGUAGGAGACGAAAAAAAAGUAGUCCCUACCAAGAAUCAAUCCCAAAAGGUCGGAACGAGGUAUGUGGCUUUCAAACUAGGUUCUGGGUUCAUAAAAGACCUGAAUCAGGAACAAGGGCUAUUAGCUCAGGUGGUUAGAGCGCACCCCUGAUAAGGGUGAGGUCCCUGGUUCGAGUCCAGGAUGGCCCACCUGCACAGGUGGCAAAAACAAGAGAAACGAGGAAUCAGCACCUUAUCUUACUUAUAUAGUAAGAGAGAAUGCUGGCUCUGAGUAAAGAGUCCAGAGGAACCUUGAAAACUGCAUAGAGCUAGGUGAAAAAGCCAAAAAAGAAGACCGCAAG